This 73-nucleotide transfer RNA is filed under the name Salmo salar (Atlantic salmon). It matches the Rfam family "tRNA". Rfam says of the family: Transfer RNA (tRNA) molecules are approximately 80 nucleotides in length. The record is from Rfam by way of RNAcentral. Lineage: Eukaryota; Metazoa; Chordata; Actinopteri; Salmoniformes; Salmonidae.
ACCUGCCUGGCUCAGUUGGUAGAACAUGGCACUUGCAAUGCCAGGGUUGUGGAUUCAAUUCCCAUGGGGGGAC